GAUUUACUUAAUAGGUUGUAUGUUAACGUUGUAUAGUUAUAUAUUGAUUAUUAAGUGGUAAUGAAAUGUUUAUCGUUUUUCGUGAUAGCUAGUUUAUUGGUGUAAAAUAUUUAAGUAUUGUAAUGUUAGGUGUAGUGUUGUGCUGAUUUGACAUUAGCUUACUAUAUGGGGGAUAAGCUUCAUAUAAUUUAAUAGAAUUUGUUGUGUACUAGUUGUAAUUUAAGUAGAAUUAAUAAUGUUUUUCUUUAAAAGUAGUUUAAAUUUUUGUUGUAAAUUAGUAAAUUCAUGUUUAGGUAGCUGAUAAAUGUUUAUGAAUUGUUUUAUAGAUAUUUAUAAUGUUAAUAUGAGUAUUAGUUAUUAUUAUAUUAUGUUUAAUUAUUAUUAUAGGUGUAUAUGGUUUAUAUUAUUAGUAUAGAGUUAAGUAGGGUAAAGGAAUUCGGCAAAUAUUAAUCUCGCCUGUUUAUCAAAAACAUGUCUCUUUGUUAAUUAUAAAUAGAGAG
Molecule: ribosomal RNA, 500 nt
Filed under: Architeuthis dux (giant squid)
Lineage: Eukaryota; Metazoa; Mollusca; Cephalopoda; Oegopsida; Architeuthidae
Description: partial 16S ribosomal RNA
Source: RNAcentral